AAAUUCCAUUGUGAUACUACCCUUGCCAAAUUUCUGGAGAGUAACAUAUAUAUAAAACUUCACUGGUGCCAAGUUCUGCUGAACUAGGAAAAAAUGCAAAAUUGAAAAUCACAUGUCUGCUAGGUCCCAGCAAAACUGGCCCAUUCUCACCAGAGGACACUCCUUCCACCCGCCAGCAAGCGCUGCACCGCCUGAGAGCGGCUGGAAACUGACUUUUAAGACCAUUUUGGAACUGAAAAAGUAGAUCCUAUGGUGGAAAAUUAUCUGGCCGUGAAAUUGCAAGAAGUUAGCACAAAGAAAAGAAAGUAUAAAGGAAGACAGGGUGGAAGGGGCUGUUUAACUUUCAGAUCUAAUCAAAGUCCUGAUGAGUGUUGGCUGAGGCCACAGGUCCCCAGGCAAGACCUCCGCUGCGGAGAAGUCCUGCUCCAGGGCCUGUCCAGGCAGCUCCGCCCAGGGCUGCGGCAGGGGUCAUCUGUCCAGGACUUGAGGGACAAAAACCCCUGUGUUCUGAGUGACUGUUUGAACUGAAUUUCUCUCCCUUUUUCUUCCUGGAGGAAAAUCCGUUGACCCUGUCUUAACCUCAGCUUCCAUUCUUGGACAGAGUGUGAGUUAGAACAGGAAACUCAAAGAAGCUGUUUCCAUGGUCUCAGGACAAAAUCGUGUGUGUGUGUGUGUGUGUGUGUGCGCGCGCACAUGUAUUAAGAUCUGAGGUGGAAAGCAUAAAAAAAUUAGAACAAAGAAAAAUUCUGAAGUAGAGAAAGCAGAGCGUCCUGGUGGACGAGGACACCUCUGUCCACUGGGUGCUUUGGCUCCCACCCCCCUCACUGCCCACCUUCCUGCUGAACCAAGGGUUUGCUCCGAGAUGCUUAUCAACAAGACUCACAUCCAGCUCCUCGCAGACGGAGGCUGCUUCCCUCCCCGAGUCUAAACAGAAAAGGCAAGGAUCCCCUGGGCUUCAGGCUGCUAAGGGAAGAGCUGGAUCCCAUGGAUGGCUCCGCACAGUUACCUCUGCCAGGGAGAGCCCGAAUGUCAGUUUAAAAUAUCUUUUAAAAUCAAUUGUCUUGACUGUUUUGUGUCUUAUGCUAAAAUGGACUUUCAAAUGGGCCAAAAAUUGUCUCUGUGUUCAGACUGUGUGUAUUCUAUGGACCGUUAGGCUUUUGGGGGUGUAUGUUGGGUUUUCAAUACCAUACAUAAAAAAAAGAGAAAGUGAUUUUUAAUAAAAAAAUUACACAUUUAAAAUCAUAUAAGAAAUUAAUUAGGAUAUUAUACUAUGAUUAUACUGCAGCAAUAGUUAAAUUGAGAGACAUACUAUUCAUGAUAUUAUAAUACAAAUAAUGUCUCAUUCCUGAUUAAUCAUACCUCCAAUGCAUAUGUUUUUGGUAUUUAUUAAUAUGUAGAUUUUAUUUGUUUUGUUAAAACGAAAUCCGAGGGAUAAUUUGUAUAAUGGUUGAAAAAAAUAUUCAAAAUAUCUCAACAUGCA
Molecule: long non-coding RNA, 1480 nt
Organism: Ictidomys tridecemlineatus (thirteen-lined ground squirrel)
Lineage: Eukaryota; Metazoa; Chordata; Mammalia; Rodentia; Sciuridae
Source: RefSeq, a predicted model, not a curated record